GUGGCAUCUCAAUAUGGGGAAUUUCUUUCAGAGGCCUAUCAGCGAAGUAUGCGUACAAAGCUCUUAAUACUGCCUGAUGAGAAAUCACUACGACAGGAGCUCGUUGCCUUUCAAGUUCAAUAAUCACAGGCUCUAGCCUUUGAAUGACAUCCAGAUAAGAUUCUCCUCGAGGAUACCGGUAUCUCAGCUUGUCCUUCUUACGAGACUCAUACUCCUCAGGCAUGUUCUUUUUUAUUUCUUCAUAAGUCAUUCCAUCACAUACUCCAGCAUUUAUCUCAUCAAGGGCACGCCAUUGAAUCUUAGGAAAUCCAACGAUUGGACUAGCUGUGAGAAUGGUUCUCUGCAGUGUGCUAGUCCAAAUAGAGGCAGCCUUCUCAGAUUUCAGUCGUUUUUCAACGAAGUUGGCAAGUUUCUUCGCAUAAAUUUCUCCAGCAUCACUCAAAACAGUGUCUCCACCAAUUCUGCCCCUAACAUUAUCCCGACUUUCUCCAUGCCUAGUAAGUAAUAUUGGGCGGGGUGUGAGAUGUGUAUUCACCAAGAAAAAGACAAUUCGUCCAGGAAGGUAGCCGCUGAUAUUGUUUACUUGUAUUUGUCCACCAUGUCCACUGACCAUAUCGAUCAUUUUGAUGUAGGAUCCUUCUUCCACAGGCUCAUAAACUUUCUCAUAAUUGGCCAGUCGAUCCUUGAAAUCUUGAUAUCCAGCUUCAUAAUCUGGCUGCUCAGCAUAGUCAGGGCUUUGUUGAAUUUU
Molecule: unclassified non-coding RNA, 748 nt
Filed under: Hevea brasiliensis (rubber tree)
Lineage: Eukaryota; Viridiplantae; Streptophyta; Magnoliopsida; Malpighiales; Euphorbiaceae
Source: RNAcentral